This 319-nucleotide ribosomal RNA is filed under the name uncultured eukaryote. RNAcentral describes it as "partial 18S ribosomal RNA". It matches the Rfam family "Eukaryotic small subunit ribosomal RNA", at positions 1470 to 1796 of the family's 1831-position model. The record is from RNAcentral.
CCCCUAGAUGUUCUGGGCCGCACGCGCGCUACACUGAACAGUUCAACAAGUCUUAACCUUGGCCGAUAGGUCUGGGUAAUCUUUGAACGCUGUUCGUGAUUGGGAUAGACCUUUGCAAUUAUGGGUCUUCAACGAGGAAUUCCUAGUAAACGCAAGUCAUCAGCUUGCAUUGAUUACGUCCCUGCCCUUUGUACACACCGCCCGUCGCACCUACCGAUUGAAUGGUCCGGUGAAAUCUCGGGACGGCGGCUUGGUCGCUUGCGUCCGACUGCUGAAACUUGAUUAAACCAUAUCAUUUAGAGGAAGGUGAAGUCGUACA